GUGCUCGCUUGGUAGCACAUAUACUAAAACUGGGCCCAUACAGAGAAGAUUGGCAUGGCCCCUGAGCAAGGAUGCCACGCCAAUUCGUGAAGCGUUCCAUAUUAAA
Molecule: small nuclear RNA, 106 nt
Organism: Phyllostomus hastatus (greater spear-nosed bat)
Lineage: Eukaryota; Metazoa; Chordata; Mammalia; Chiroptera; Phyllostomidae
Source: RefSeq, a predicted model, not a curated record